UGCAGUCGAGCGGUAACAUUUCAAAGCUUGCUUUGAAGAUGACGAGCGGCGGACGGGUGAGUAAUGCUUGGGAAUAUGCCUUAUGGUGGGGGACAACAGUUGGAAACGACUGCUAAUACCGCAUAAUGUCUACGGACCAAAGGGGGGGAUCUUCGGACCUCUCGCCAUUUGAUUAGCCCAAGUGAGAUUAGCUAGUUGGUGAGGUAAUGGCUCACCAAGGCGACGAUCUCUAGCUGGUUUGAGAGGAUGAUCAGCCACACUGGGACUGAGACACGGCCCAGACUCCUACGGGAGGCAGCAGUGGGGAAUAUUGCACAAUGGGCGCAAGCCUGAUGCAGCCAUGCCGCGUGUGUGAAGAAGGCCUUCGGGUUGUAAAGCACUUUCAGUAAGGAGGAAAGGGAUGUAGUUAAUAGCUGCAUUCUGUGACGUUACUUACAGAAGAAGCACCGGCUAAAUUCGUGCCAGCAGCCGCGGUAAUACGAAUGGAGCAAGCGUUGUUCGGAAUCACUGGGCUUAAAGCGUGCGCAGGCGGACUUGAAAGUCGGGAGUGAAAUCCCAGGGCUCAACCCUGGAACUGCUUCCGAAACUCCAAGUCUAGAAUCCGAUAGAGGUUAGGGGAAUUCCUA
RNAcentral lists this ribosomal RNA (626 nucleotides) under uncultured bacterium. RNAcentral's name for it is "bacterial SSU rRNA". It matches the Rfam family "Bacterial small subunit ribosomal RNA", at positions 56 to 672 of the family's 1533-position model. The record is from RNAcentral.